UCAUUGACGUUACCCGCAGAAGAAGCAC
RNAcentral lists this non-coding RNA (28 nucleotides) under Drosophila melanogaster (fruit fly). RNAcentral also lists the same sequence under 1 other name. Lineage: Eukaryota; Metazoa; Arthropoda; Insecta; Diptera; Drosophilidae. The record is from RNAcentral.